UACGUAGGGGGCGAGCGUUGUCCGGAUUUAUUGGGCGUAAAGAGCGUGUAGGCGGCCAGGUAGGUCUGCUGUGAAAACUCGAGGCUCAACCUCGAGAUGUCGGCGGAAACCAUCUGGCUAGAGUCCGGAAGAGGAGAGUGGAAUUCCUGGUGUAGCGGUGAAAUGCGCAGAUAUCAGGAAGAACACCGGUGGCGAAGGCGGCAUCCUGGACCAACACUGACGCUGAGUGAGCGAAAGCCAGGGGAGCAAACGGG
This 254-nucleotide ribosomal RNA is filed under the name uncultured bacterium. RNAcentral describes it as "partial 16S ribosomal RNA". It matches the Rfam family "Bacterial small subunit ribosomal RNA", at positions 524 to 776 of the family's 1533-position model. The record is from RNAcentral.